Molecule: long non-coding RNA, 441 nt
Organism: Tachysurus vachellii
Lineage: Eukaryota; Metazoa; Chordata; Actinopteri; Siluriformes; Bagridae
Exons: 5
Source: RefSeq, a predicted model, not a curated record
GCCUGAGCUCGUUUUGUGGUUUGUUGUUCUGCUGUGCCAUAAUGUGUGUUACGAGUCUCCCUCUUUUCGCCAUCCUUCUUGCUGUUAUCUCUCACUCGUUCGGUUCUCCGGUGGCGCACGAGUACCGAAGAGACACCGGAGUCGUCCUGAUGCGAGCUGAUAAUCCGGAUCCAGCGUUCCAUACUUCACUUCAUCACCCUAUGAAGGCUAUGCUGUGGGAUGGAGAUUACUUGGAAGAUUCAUCUGGCGCAGGAAUGCCAAGUUGAAACCGGAUGGGGGGAAAGGCAGAAGUCUUCAGGAUGGGAGAAUGUGCUUUGUCGUCUCAGUGACCUGGAAAGGGGCAUGGGGGCAUAUUCCAUCUCCUCCAUGUUGCCACACCUCAUCUGUGCAUGAGUUCAUGGGUGACUUCUUGGUGCUGAAUAAAUAUCAAAUUCCUGAAAA